AGCAGCCGCGGUAAUUCCAGCUCCAAUAGCGUAUAUUAAAGUUGUUGCAGUUAAAAAGCUCGUAGUUGAAUUUCGGGAUCAAAUUGUUGGUCGUGCCUCGGUACGCACUGGUAUUAUUGGUUCCUACCUUCUGAAGAACCGCGAUGUCAUUAAUUUGGUGUCGUGGGGAAUCAGGACUGUUACUUUGAAAAAAUUAGAGUGUUUAAAGCAGGCUUACGCUUGAAUACAUUAGCAUGGAAUAAUGAAAUAGGACGUUUGAUUCUAUUUUGUUGGUUUCUAGGAUUGACGUAAUGAUUAAUAGGGAUAGUUGGGGGCAUUAGUAUUCAAUUGUCAGAGGUGAAAUUCUUGGAUUUAUUGAAGACUAACUACUGCGAAAGCAUUUGCCAAGGAUGUUUUCAUUAAUCAAGAACGAAAGUUAGGGGAUCGAAGACGAUCAGAUACCGUCGUAGUCUUAACCAUAAACUAUGCCGACUAGGGAUCGGAUGAUGUUAAUUUUUUAAUGUACUCAUUCGGCGCCUUA
RNAcentral lists this ribosomal RNA (520 nucleotides) under uncultured Glomus. RNAcentral describes it as "SSU rRNA". It matches the Rfam family "Eukaryotic small subunit ribosomal RNA", at positions 569 to 1090 of the family's 1831-position model. Lineage: Eukaryota; Fungi; Glomeromycota; Glomeromycetes; Glomerales; Glomeraceae. The record is from RNAcentral.